ACAUCGCUAGCACAGUGGUUAGUGCAAACUGCCGAAAGCAGAAAGACGCGGGUUAAAUUCCCGUCCGAUGUC
Nippostrongylus brasiliensis is the source of this 72-nucleotide non-coding RNA. The record is from Rfam. Lineage: Eukaryota; Metazoa; Nematoda; Chromadorea; Rhabditida; Heligmosomidae.